This 1098-nucleotide unclassified non-coding RNA is filed under the name Hevea brasiliensis (rubber tree). Lineage: Eukaryota; Viridiplantae; Streptophyta; Magnoliopsida; Malpighiales; Euphorbiaceae. The record is from RNAcentral.
UUCUGCUGCUGCUGCUGCUGCUGUUAGUUCUAUUGCUUCUUUUACUAUCUCCUCCAGCCAUCAACUUUUUUAUGCUCCACUCCUUAUCUGCUUGAUUCUCAGAUCCCUGAAACGAUGGCUUUGGAGAAACUUUGGAACCAUUUCCUCCUUUCACUUUCGUCUUCCAACAGAGAGAAAUAGGUACGAACAUCUUGAUCAUGAAAUUUUCUUUUUCCAUACUUUUACUCCUUGAAAUCUGCCCCGACUUAUCAGUAUUCUUUGGUUUUCUCUUUCUCUGUUUCUUGGUUUGAGUCUCAGCAGUGUUGAAAUGAAAACUAGUCCUUUCAGUUGCAUUCUCCUUAUUCACCUUAUUCAGAGUGAGCUGCUCAUCAACAAUAUCCUUCAAAGAGAGCUCGUAACUAGACUCUGGCAUGUCAUGAAUCCUCUCCAUGAGCUCCUUCCUAGCUUCUGCAAUGGCUUGUGAUUGCGAGGUCAAUGAAAUAUUACUGUAACGAUGGUUGUGGGGGAGCAAACGGGAGGUUUCAUUUCUAACAUAUCUUGAUGUACUUCUUUUCCAUAACCCUGAAUAAUCAUCCAACUCUUCCUCGAAAUGCCCUCGAAACUCCAUUUCACCACUGAAAUUCUCAUAAUACCGAGCAUCACCACCACCCCAGAAAUCGAAUUCUUCAUCUGCCUGCCUAUCAUAAUUGCUGCUCAUUUGAUAGUCUGGAUUAAAAGAGAAAAUCUGGUUGCAGUGAUCAAGCAUAGCUUUUUAGAGGAGAGGAUGCCAAGAAAUGUUUAGAGUUCUGAGAUCAACAUGUCCAUAAAAGCAACAAUGAUAGUCUUUUUUUAGUUGUCAUUUUUCUCCCCACGAGUUAUGUAGAUGGAACUCAAAAGUCAUUGCCGUCUCAUAUGGGAUGACAAGUAAAUGGUCCAAUUUUGCCAUUUUUCUCCAUGUGUCUUAUUCAAAUCUUUCUGGGGAAAAUUUGCCAUGACUCUAUUGGCAAUAGCCAAUAAGUGGACCAUCUCAAUUUCUAGUGCUUGUAGAUUCAUGGAGCUCCUUGUGCAUUGGUUCUCUUUCUUCACUGUCUUUGCCAUCUGGUGUUUCCAAAAUAAAAU